CUUUGCUUCCAGGGACAGCUGUGUCAGCGAAAUGGAUUUAACAUUGUUUCAUGUUUACCUUAUUUCCUAAAAUGAUGAACUAUGAAAGUGAGUGAUAAACACUUACACAGAUGCCUUUUGAUUAUUUAUGGCCCACUCAUUGGUGGAAAACAGCACAUGGUGUGAUUUUUUUCUCCCAAAGUGCCCAAGUCCUUAUUUUCCAUUUCAAGGGUUUAACAGGUUCUAAAAUGACAUUCAAGGCGAAUAUCUAAAAUUGAGGUGUGAGUUGCAUAAAAAGUUAAUUUCCUGGCAGCUGUUAAUAAUAUGGGUAACAAUAUUGAAAAUUUGCACCACGACCUCACUUAGAGUUUAUGCAAGGUCAAGCUUCCCACAUCUAAGUCAUUCAAGAACAACAAACUAUGCUAAAACCUGCACAGAAGAUUCAGUAAAGACAGAAAUUACCCUUGGUUGGGUUAACCUUGUCUUAAGUCUCUAGCAUAAGAGUUCAAUCAACAGGUCUGUGUGUGUGUGUAUGUGUUUGUAGGCAGCCUCCUUUAUUGCCUGCAAAGCUAGUGGUUCUGCUGUACUUCAUUCUGUUCUGCAGCUGAAUUCUGCAGUAGCGCUUAAAAGCUAUGAGUUCCAAAGGAAUAUCUGUGUUGGUGUAGUCUUGGUGUAGUCUAAGGGGCCAUAAGACUGGGUUGUUUUUGUUGCAACAGACUUAAGAUUACUGUGGCAUUACUGUGGCAUUAGCUGUUGUGAAAAGGCUUAGCCAUAAUCAAUCUGUUAAGAUGCAACAAGACGUGGGGGAGGGGGUUGCCAUAAGUUACAAGGGAACUUGAUUGCACAGCAUUAACUGUAUCUCAGAGCUUGGAAGUAACUCGUUAUUUUUAACGAGUUACUUGUAAUUCGUUACAAUUUUAAAUAACGAGUGGGUAAUUCCAUUACAUUUGGCAAGUAACGGAACGACUAGUAAUUUCCCUACUUUUCAGCUGCAACUUUAACGUUUCCACGUUAGGUUGCACGUUACUUGGGGGUGGGAACAAGGGGAAGACAGCUCCUGGCUGUGGUUGGUUAACACAAGACAUGUGCCUCACACUGAUUGGACCUCUGCACAGACUCUCUCUUCCCUCGUGAUCUGUGUUAGGAUGCACGAGGGAAGAGGUGAAUAGGCAGGGCCUGCUAGCGUCUGAGAGGACAAAAUGGACGCCGGAGGAAAAAGCCAGGGCAAGGACAACGGAGGAGAAGGCAGCAGCAGAAUGGCAAAGAGCUGUGGAGAGACGCCUGUUGCAGGUUUUGCUGCAGUCAGUUAGUGCGGCCACUUGAGUCACAGCUUGUUGAUCCUGAGGAGGCAAAACUAGAAAGUGAGGUUCAGAAAGGAGGCCCUGUGCGUGAGGAGGAGGAGGGCAUGAAGCAGUGCCAGUUGCCCACAGCCACAUCUGCAGAACAGCAAGUACCAUGGUUUGGCUUUGAGAAAGCUUGUACAUUUGUGAGCCAGAGUGGGAAAAACGUUGUUGUACGAUGCAAUUACUGCCUUCCAAGGAUCAAAAAUCUGAGAUCAACUGUUUCCUCCUCAUCCAAUGUGAAGAAACAUUUUGAGAGGGCACACCCUGAGAAGCUGAGAGCAAUUGAAGAAGCAAUAAAGGCCAAGGAGACGUGUCAUGAACCAAUGCAUGACACCCCUCCUCCCAAAAUGCUGAAGCAGCAGCAGACAACCCUUGAGAGGUGGGGAUCUGGCAGGGAGCCUGUCACCCAGAGCAAUCUCGACAGGAGAAUCAUUGAUUUCAUUGUAGAGGAGACAUUACCACUUCAGACUGUGGACAAACCAUCAUUCAUUAAUCUGGUUCGCAUUGGACUCCCCAAAGAUCUCACCAUCAUGUGUGCCAAGACUCUGAGAGACAGAAUUGAGAAGAGAGCAUGCCACAUGAGAGAAACCCUUGCAAACCGAAUGGGUGCUGUGGCAUAUAUAGCAACCACUGCAGAUUGUUGGACCAAUGGCAAGAAGAGUUACUUUGGGGUAACAGCCCACUGGAUCAACCCAACUACCCUGAAACGUGAGGUCGGGGCCUUGGCUUGUAAGCAUCUGAAGGGGCGCCAUACAUACGAUGUCCUUUCAAAAGCACUGCAUGAUGUACAUGUGCAGUACAGGAUCCACAACAAAGUUAUGUGCACUACUACAGACAAUGGCUUCAACUUUGUGAAAGCGUUCAGAGUUUUCAUGGCCAAAGAACCAGUGGAAGCUGCAGGCACCAGUGACGAUGAUGGUGAUAACCAGGAGGAGGAGGAGGCUGAGGUGGAGUUUGUGCCUAUCUGUGAGAUCCUGGACACAGGACCUGAGGCAGAGGAAGAAGCUGCAGACUCAGGAGAGGAUUUUGUUUUACCACCACACCAGAGAUGUGCUAGCCACACCCUCAACCUUGUGGCAACACAAGACAUAGAGGCCAUGCUUUCUGACUCCUCCAAAAGUAGUCUUCUUGGUCCUUUCAAGAAACAGUUUCGUUCCUUGAUGGGAAAGUGCAGCAAGGUGUGGUCCAAGCAGAACCAGUCAGCACAGAUUGCUGAGUAUAUCCAUGCGCAAUAUGGUGUGUAUCUGAAGGUACCGAAUAAGACCAGGUGGAAUUUCACCUUUGAUGCAUUGAAGCAACUACAUGAGCUCCUGUCAACUGUGCCACUAAAAAUGCAUGCCAUAAUGGAUCACAGCUGCUGAGAUUGAAGUGGUACAGGAAUACACAGAUUAUGGAACCACUAGCCCAGUCCCUAGAUAUCCUGUAACGGGAGAACGGCAUGUUCAUGGGGUAUUUGCUACCAACGCUCUGCAGUCUGGACCGCAAGUUAGAAGGACUGGAAAACAAACCUGAGAGGUACACAUACUGUUUUCAGCUGCUGAGAGGUGUGCGCGAAGCCCUAAGAAAGCGGUUUGCAGCUAUCUGGGAGGACAAGAGGCUUCUUCUGGCAGCCUGCCUACACCCUCGCUUCAAACUAGAUUGGCUGGAAUCGUGUCAGGUCGCCACCCAUACCAACAAAUACACAAUGGAAGCCUUGUUGAAAGCUGAAAUAAAGAUGGGUGUACUUAAUGAGGACAGUGAUCAGUCUUCAGAUAAAGACCAGGAAGGAGAUGACUUAGAGGAUGACUUCUUUAACUUUCUGCCCCAGGGCAAGAAGUCAGCAGUGGACACUGCUGAGGAGGAACUGGUGAGGUACCUGAGGUCUCCCAGCAGGGAAGUGUCAUCACUCCAUGGCUUUCCACGUGUGCUGCGGUGUUUUUUGCAGCACAACACAGGCAUGCCUUCAAGCGCCGCAGUAGAACGCCUGUUCAGUACUGGUGGCAACGUAAUGACUGUAAAAAGACAUUCCUUGUCUGACAUGCUCUUUGAGCAUCUUGUUCUUUUGAGACAUAACAGAAACAUAUUAUAAAAGCAUUUCAAGUGUAAAAUUUGAUUUCAAGAGUUGGGGUAUCUUCACUGCUUGGGGAGAUGUGAGAUUC
Molecule: RNA transcript, 3460 nt
Organism: Rhineura floridana
Lineage: Eukaryota; Metazoa; Chordata; Lepidosauria; Squamata; Rhineuridae
Exons: 4
Source: RefSeq, a predicted model, not a curated record